RNAcentral lists this transfer RNA (73 nucleotides) under Mustela putorius furo (domestic ferret). It matches the Rfam family "tRNA". From Rfam's summary of the family: Transfer RNA (tRNA) molecules are approximately 80 nucleotides in length. Their secondary structure includes four short double-helical elements and three loops (D, anti-codon, and T loops). Lineage: Eukaryota; Metazoa; Chordata; Mammalia; Carnivora; Mustelidae. The record is from Rfam by way of RNAcentral.
AUCUGGCUGGCUCAGUUAGUAGAGCAUGUGACUCUUGAUCUUGGGAUCGUGAGUUCAAGCCCCAUGUUGGGUG